This 245-nucleotide ribosomal RNA is filed under the name uncultured Planctomycetota bacterium. RNAcentral's name for it is "uncultured planctomycete partial 16S ribosomal RNA". It matches the Rfam family "Bacterial small subunit ribosomal RNA", at positions 524 to 768 of the family's 1533-position model. The record is from RNAcentral. Lineage: Bacteria; Pseudomonadati; Planctomycetota.
GACGAAGGAGCCAAGCGUUGUUCGGAGUUACUGGGCUUAAAGAGUGCGUAGGCGGCUUGGAAGGUGCUUUGUGAAAUCCCCCGGCUCAACCGAGGAACUGCAGGGCAAACCACCGGGCUUGAGGCGGACAGGGGCGACUGGAACUCUAGGUGGAGCGGUGAAAUGCGUUGAUAUCUAGAGGAACGCCAGUGGCGAAAGCGGGUCGCUGGGUCUGUCCUAACGCUGAGGCACGAAAGCGUGGGGAG